RNAcentral lists this ribosomal RNA (754 nucleotides) under alpha proteobacterium SCGC AAA015-O19. RNAcentral's name for it is "SSU rRNA". It matches the Rfam family "Bacterial small subunit ribosomal RNA", at positions 63 to 866 of the family's 1533-position model. The record is from RNAcentral. Lineage: Bacteria; Pseudomonadati; Pseudomonadota; Alphaproteobacteria.
CGAGCGCGCCUUCGGGCGAGCGGCGGACGGGUUAGUAACGCGUGGGAACGUGCCCAGAUCUACGGAAUAGCCACUGGAAACGGUGAGUAAUACCGUAUACGCCCUUAGGGGGAAAGAUUUAUCGGAUUUGGAUCGGCCCGCGUUAGAUUAGGUAGUUGGUGGGGUAACGGCCUACCAAGCCUACGAUCUAUAGCUGGUUUUAGAGGAUGAUCAGCAACACUGGGACUGAGACACGGCCCAGACUCCUACGGGAGGCAGCAGUGGGGAAUCUUGGACAAUGGGGGCAACCCUGAUCCAGCCAUGCCGCGUGAGUGAAGAAGGCCCUAGGGUCGUAAAACUCUUUCGCCUGUGAUGAUAAUGACAGUAGCAGGUAAAGAAACCCCGGCUAACUCCGUGCCAGCAGCCGCGGUAAUACGGAGGGGGUUAGCGUUGUUCGGAAUUACUGGGCGUAAAGCGCACGUAGGCGGAUUAGAAAGUUAGAGGUGAAAUCCCGGGGCUCAACCCCGGAACUGCCUUUAAAACUACUAGUCUAGAGUUCGAGAGAGGUGAGUGGAAUUCCGAGUGUAGAGGUGAAAUUCGUAGAUAUUCGGAGGAACACCAGUGGCGAAGGCGGCUCACUGGCUCGAUACUGACGCUGAGGUGCGAAAGUGUGGGGAGCAAACAGGAUUAGAUACCCUGGUAGUCCACACCGUAAACGAUGAAUGCCAGUCGUCGGGUAGUAUACUAUUCGGUGACACACCUAACGGAUUAAGCA